UCCCAGGUGGCUCAGACGGUAAAGUAUCUGCUUGCAAUGCAGGAGACCUGGGUUUGAGUCCUGGGUCAGGAA
Non-coding RNA from Bos taurus (domestic cattle), 72 nucleotides. The record is from Rfam. Lineage: Eukaryota; Metazoa; Chordata; Mammalia; Artiodactyla; Bovidae.